AUGUCUUACAGUAUUUCACAUCAUUUGUGCAAUUGCAGUUUAACUUCUACCAUUUACUGGUUGCCUGUAUGUACACAUGUCAGUGGCACUGAUCCACGCUUCGACCCGAAGGAACAGCUCGCCUCCGCCGCCGCUGACUUUGGACGGGUUCUGGCCAAGAUGAAGUGCCCAAGCAACUACCUCUCAGGACUUAUCAAGUAUGUACUCACCAAUUCAAUCUUACCAAUACCAGUUGAGAUUAAUGGCUAUGUUUUAUAUGGUCGAUGUAUUAAGCAUGUUGUAGUAAACAUGCCUAACAUGUUUUAG
This 306-nucleotide ribosomal RNA is filed under the name Triticum aestivum (bread wheat). Its description in RNAcentral is "partial small subunit ribosomal RNA". The record is from RNAcentral. Lineage: Eukaryota; Viridiplantae; Streptophyta; Magnoliopsida; Poales; Poaceae.